Molecule: long non-coding RNA, 2673 nt
Organism: Acipenser ruthenus (sterlet)
Lineage: Eukaryota; Metazoa; Chordata; Actinopteri; Acipenseriformes; Acipenseridae
Exons: 3
Source: RefSeq, a predicted model, not a curated record
UCAUAUGCUCUACUCCCCUUUCUUCACCUGUUUCACCGGCCAAUCCCUUACCACCGGAAACUAUAACCUGUUUUCAAAAAGUGCGCACAUCAACUAAUUAAGAAUUUUUUUUUUUUAAAGGGAUACACACCUAAAAACAAACUAAAAACAUAAUAAACAGGAACAUCGGUUUACAUAAUUUGAUAUAUGUAUAUAACUUUUUUUUCUUCCAUUCGGAACGUACUCACAGGUUCCGAAUGCUAUUUGCAUGCUGCAUUAAGCACUAUUGGGAUUAUUGUGAGAUAUGCGCAUGCGUCAUUGUGGUUCAUUGCAUUUUUUUGCAGGCGAUAAUUUACACUGUUAUUAAUGUAUUUUUAAAAUGUGAACUUUCGGUAUUUUAAAUGAGAUGUACUUUUAAAACACCAAGACACAUCUCAAAAUAAUGCAACAUUCAGCAUGACACGGUAAUUAAUGCUUUUAGAUGUGUCGUGCAUUUAUAUGCAGAGCAGAUUAAAUUACAUCAGGAUUGGCUAUCCUGCGCAGUGAAGUAUAGAACAAUUUCAGUCUUGAGGUGGCUGAUGAUGGCAUGGAAUAGUAAAACAAUAUAACAAGACCUUAUUUUUCUCCAUGGAUAUUGUGAAGCAAAAUACCACUAAGUUAAAGAAAAACAGACGUUUCAGUGCGACUGUGAUCAGACCAUGUGGAACCAGACACAGCUGGUGAUUGAUAGUGGAAGACAAGGGAUGCAGAGGAUUGUGUCAUCUGAAAAGGACCUGCACUCCAGUGGACUGAGGUUCUGAGUAAGGACAACCCCAGCACUCCCAGAGAUUCAAAGCUGAGGCCAAAGCUAUUUACACCUUUCUUCCUAAUUCUCUUUCCAUGCAUGUAACUUCCUAAACUGCUUACAGCACUCCUUUUCUUGGUGUCAGGUCAGGUGUUGAGUCUGGGUUGCGUGGAAGCACCACAGUUUGAAUGUGCAAGGAAGAGCACGCAUUUGGAAGGGGAGUGGAGGCAAACUUUCAAACAGAGAGCGGUGGGUGUCUGGAAUGGGAUGCCAAGCCAUGUUGCUGCUGUUGAUUCAUUGGAAUCCUGCAAGAGCCAACUGGAUCCUGGAAUCAAUUAUAACUGAUUGAGCAUUGAUGAGCCAAAUGGUUUCAGCUUGUUUGUAUCUUUUAUAAAUGUUCUUAUGUAUAAAGUAACGUCUGUCUGCUCUGAAAAUGUAGCACGUCUCUUUUGGCAGUGGGCGCAUGUUGGUCUCUGAAUCUGAAGACCGUGGUUUGAUACUCAUUCACUAUUGUACACUAUCUACCCAUUCCAGCAUUGCCUUGUAUGAGCACACUUUGAGAAAACAAGCAAACCAACCAAUACAAAAUCAAAGCAGAGGCGUUGUUCUAAUUUUCUAACAUCGCACAAAGGCAAUUUGGAAUAAAUCACGAUGACCACCAGUCAACGACAGCACUGAAUCCCCCCUGACCAGCCGGAUAUGAUUCAGACUGGAAUUGACCAGAUCCAAAUCUUUUCUGUUCUGCAUUCUCCUGAUUUCUGGAGAAGAUGUCAGGAUACGUUGACACAGACUAGAAACAAAACCUGCUAUCAGUGCUGCACUGUUCAGAACUCCAGCGGCCUUCCGAAGGAGAAGGGCGACCCCAUCAUGCCUGGGUCUUGUCAUGACUGGGUCUUGUCAUGCCUGUAAGGUAAAUCAGAACAGGGGCAAACUGAAAAGGCAACAUAGGUCCAUUCACAGUCACAACUGCAGCUUAAUGGCUUUGAAAUUGCAUUAAAUAGCAAAGAAUGCCACGUGAUAUAUGGGUAUGUUUAAUCACCUUUCACGUACUGUAUGAUUCAAGCCAGUGUCGUCAACCAUAUUGAUAUAUGAGAAUACAGUGUACCAGAAACUCAAUAUGGUCCAAUUGAUGUCAUGGAAAGGAUUUGUUUCUGACGUGUCAUGUGGCAUACGGCCUGCAAGACGCACACCCUGAUUGACUGAAGGCUCCUCAACAAAUAUAUGACGGCAGAACAUAUUCCUUUAGGUGCCACUCCCUUUCAAACCAUCUUUCUACCAUCUUAACUCUGUGACAGGUGUGGAGCGGUAAUGCACACCAGGGGCGGCCGGUUAACAGUGUUCGCUUGCUCGCCGAACCCCCAGUCUCUUAUUAAUGAAUUGCACUUCCCUUCUUCUGGGUGAUGUGCGUUUCAUUUCCCCCCUCUCACGUGACACAUCAACAAUAAUAAUAAUAUAUUUUAUAUAUUUUGGCAAAGGGGGCGCUCAUUGGACUCUGAAUCUGAAGACUGUGGUUUGAUACUCAUUCACGAUUGUACACUAUCUACCAUUCCAGCAUUUCCUUGUAUGAGCACACUUUGAGAAAACAAGCAAACCAACCAAUACAAAAUCAAAGCAGAGGCGUUGUUCUACUUUUCUAACAUCGCACAAAGGCAAUUUGGAAUAAACCACGAUGACCACCAGUCAACGACAGCACUGAAUCCCCCCUGACCAGCCGGAUCCGAUCCAGACUGGAAUUGACCAGAUCCAAGCAUCUUUUCUGUUCUGCAUUCUCCUGAUUUCCUGAUAGGGCAACAGUGUGGAGUAGUGGUUAGGGCACUGGACUCUUGACCGGAGGGUCGUGGGUUCAGUCCCAGGUGGAGGACACUGCUGCUGUACCCUUGAGCAAGGUACUUUAUCUAGAUUGCUCCAGU